Perca flavescens (yellow perch) is the source of this 599-nucleotide long non-coding RNA. RefSeq lists it as uncharacterized. Lineage: Eukaryota; Metazoa; Chordata; Actinopteri; Perciformes; Percidae. The transcript has 3 exons. The record is from RefSeq and is a predicted model, not a curated record.
CAAGAAUGGACAGAACAUUCAGGGACAAACAUCUGAUUCUUAUUCAGCCUCCUUGGAUCCUGCAGACAGCUUUUCCUGUGCUGUAAGAGGACAUGAGGACUUCCCCUCUCCUUCAGUGUUGAUACAGGGUCAGAAUGGCUUGAGAGUGACUUACACCUCUACUCAGAUCUGUGCUGUUAAAGGAUCAACAGUGAACAUACCCUGCAGAUACACAUACCCAUCAGCUGUAGGUGGAGUUGAUACUACAGUUGAGCAGAGAGUCUGGUUAAAUCAACAGUUUGUGGAUCUGACAACAGUCUCAGAGUAUUCAGGUCGUGUGCAGUAUCACUCUGAAAACAAGGACUGUACUCUGAGAAUCUCAGACCUGAGAGAGAGAGACUCAGCUGUGUACAAGUUCAGGUUCACAACAAACCAAGGUGGGAACUAUGUUGGUUAUCCUGGAGUCACUCUGUCUGUCACAGGUCUCCAGGUGCAGGUGAGCAGAUUAGAGGUCUACGAGUCUUAUAUCUGGGUACAGCUCAAGUGUCAGAGCAGUUGUCCUCUACCUGGUCAUCCUUCCUACAUCUGGUACAAGAAUGGACAGAACAUUCAGGGACAAA